CGUUGUCCGGAUUUAUUGGGCGUAAAGCGAGCGCAGGCGGUUUAAUAAGUCUGAAGUUAAAGGCAGUGGCUUAACCAUUGUUCGCUUUGGAAACUGUUAAACUUGAGUGCAGAAGGGGAGAGUGGAAUUCCAUGUGUAGCGGUGAAAUGCGUAGAUAUAUGGAGGAACACCGGUGGCGAAAGCGGCUCUCUGGUCUGUAACUGACGCUGAGGCUCGAAAGCGUGGGGAGCAAACAGGAUUAGAUACCCUGGUAGUCCACGCCGUAAACGAUGAGUGCUAGGUGUUAGGCCCUUUCCGGGGCUUAGUGCCGCAGCUAACGCAUUAAGCACUCCGCCUGGGGAGUACGACCGCAAGGUUGAAACUCAAAGGAAUUGACGGGGGCCCGCACAAGCGGUGGGGCAUGUGGUUUAAUUCGAAGCAACGCGAAGAACCUUACCAGGUCUUGACAUCCCGAUGCUAUUUCUAGAGAUAGAAAGUUUCUUCGGAACAUCGGUGACAGGUGGUGCAUGGUUGUCGUCAGCUCGUGUCGUGAGAUGUUGGGUUAAGUCCCGCAACGAGCGCAACCCCUAUUGUUAGUUGCCAUCAUUUAGUUGGGCACUCUAGCGAGACUGCCGGUAAUAAACCGGAGGAAGGUGGGGAUGACGUCAAAUCAUCAUGCCCCUUAUGACCAGGGCUACACACGUGCUACAAUGGCGUAAACAAAGGGAAGCGAGCCCGCGAGGGGGAGCAAAUCCCAAAAAUAACGUCUCAGUUCGGAUUGUAGUCUGCAACUCGACUACAUGAAGCUGGAAUCGCUAGUAAUCGCGAAUCAGAAUGUCGCGGUGAAUACGUUCCCGGGUCUUGUACACACCGCCCGUCACACCAUGGGAGUCAGUAACGCCCGAAGUCAGUGACC
Molecule: ribosomal RNA, 895 nt
Filed under: uncultured Bacillota bacterium
Lineage: Bacteria; Bacillati; Bacillota
Description: bacterial SSU rRNA
Rfam family: Bacterial small subunit ribosomal RNA
Source: RNAcentral